RNAcentral lists this ribosomal RNA (230 nucleotides) under uncultured bacterium. RNAcentral's name for it is "partial 16S ribosomal RNA". It matches the Rfam family "Bacterial small subunit ribosomal RNA", at positions 104 to 334 of the family's 1533-position model. The record is from RNAcentral.
CGGGGUGGAGUAAUGUCUGGGAAACUGCCUGAUGGAGGGGGAUAACUACUGGAAACGGUAGCUAAUACCGCAUAACGUCGCAAGACCAAAGAGGGGGACCUUCGGGCCUCUUGCCAUCGGAUGUGCCCAGAUGGGAUUAGCUAGUAGGUGGGGUAACGGCUCACCUAGGCGACGAUCCCUAGCUGGUCUGAGAGGAUGACCAGCCACACUGGAACUGAGACACGGUCCAG